CAGUACCAUGCUAAAUAAUAGGAGUCACUAAGAACAAAGGAGGCAGCCUGAACAAUCAAAAAGGUUUGAGAGACAACCAAGAGCUCAGGCUGGGCUGGUCAAUAAGGUUCAUGUCCUACAUGAGACUACUCUGUCAAG
This is a non-coding RNA of Ceratotherium simum simum (southern white rhinoceros), 138 nucleotides long. The record is from RefSeq and is a predicted model, not a curated record. Lineage: Eukaryota; Metazoa; Chordata; Mammalia; Perissodactyla; Rhinocerotidae.